GACGAACGCUGGCGGCGUGCUUAACACAUGCAAGUCGAACGGAAAGGCCCUGCUUCUGUGGGGUGCUCGAGUGGCGAACGGGUGAGUAACACGUGAGUAACCUGCCCUUGACUUUGGGAUAACUUCAGGAAACUGGGGCUAAUACCGGAUAGGAGCUCCUGCUGCAUGGUGGGGGUUGGAAAGUUUCGGCGGUUGGGGAUGGACUCGCGGCUUAUCAGCUUGUUGGUGGGGUAGUGGCUUACCAAGGCUUUGACGGGUAGCCGGCCUGAGAGGGUGACCGGCGACAUUGGGACUGAGAUACGGCCCAGACUCCUACGGGAGGCAGCAGUGGGGAAUAUUGCACAAUGGGCCGAAGCCUGAUGCAGCAACGCCGCGUGCGGGAUGACGGCCUUCGGGUUGUAAACCGCUUUCGCCUGUGACGAAGCGUGAGUGACGGUAAUGGGUAAAGAAGCACCGGCUAACUACGUG
Molecule: ribosomal RNA, 468 nt
Filed under: uncultured bacterium
Lineage: Bacteria
Description: partial 16S ribosomal RNA
Rfam family: Bacterial small subunit ribosomal RNA
Source: RNAcentral